RNAcentral lists this small nucleolar RNA (69 nucleotides) under Chlamydotis macqueenii (Macqueen's bustard). RNAcentral's name for it is "Chlamydotis undulata macqueenii Small nucleolar RNA SNORD99". It matches the Rfam family "Small nucleolar RNA SNORD99". From Rfam's summary of the family: The members of this family belong to the C/D class of snoRNAs which contain the C (UGAUGA) and D (CUGA) box motifs. Lineage: Eukaryota; Metazoa; Chordata; Aves; Otidiformes; Otididae. The record is from Rfam by way of RNAcentral.
CCUGGUCCGUGAUGACUCCUCUCUGGAGACUGUUGGAUGAGUCCUGCGGAUAUGGGGCUGAGGCCAGGC